This 100-nucleotide signal recognition particle RNA is filed under the name Chloroflexota bacterium. RNAcentral describes it as "Chloroflexi bacterium signal recognition particle sRNA small type". It matches the Rfam family "Bacterial small signal recognition particle RNA". From Rfam's summary of the family: The signal recognition particle (SRP) is a universally conserved ribonucleoprotein involved in the co-translational targeting of proteins to membranes. Archaeal SRP consists of a 7S RNA and homologues of the eukaryotic SRP19 and SRP54 proteins. Lineage: Bacteria; Bacillati; Chloroflexota. The record is from RNAcentral.
GAGUGGGUCCAACGUGGCGAAACCCUAUGAAACUUGUCAGAUCCGAAAGGAAGCAGCAAUAAGUAGUUGUUUUCGGGUGCCGUUGGGAAACCUACUCGGG